Nymphalis io (European peacock) is the source of this 622-nucleotide long non-coding RNA. RefSeq lists it as uncharacterized. The transcript has 4 exons. The record is from RefSeq and is a predicted model, not a curated record. NCBI's taxonomy places the organism in Eukaryota, Metazoa, Arthropoda, Insecta, Lepidoptera, Nymphalidae.
UGGAUCGUUGAGCAGGCGCCGGUCGCUUACCGACGCCUGUCAGUUUUAAACGAUUAAACAUAUUCCUUUUUAUUAUACACAAAAUUAUACUAACGGAGGGUUACCUACGUCAUCUACUUUGUAAAACUUAUUUGAGAGGUUCGGGUUACCAAAUCUCUGUAACAAAACCGUGCCGCGUGCAAUACAAGUCAUAUAUUGCCUUAUUUCUACAUAUUUAAACACUCCUGAGGGAGUGUUUAUUUUUCUUUAAUUUUAUAUGUAUUUUGUAUAUUGCAUUACAAAGCAGUAUAAUAUUGUUCGCUUGACUCAACCGAGGAAUCGUUGCUGAUUUCGAGCUGUUGGAGGCUCUGCUGUUUUAUGGAGGAGAAGGAUGCUUGUCCGGUGGCCUGCUGUUGCUGCUGGUGCUAUUUGCUGCUUCGCACUGUUUUUAUUUGCUAGCUCACUCAUUGUGACACUGCUUUCAGGGUUUGCACGAUCCUGCUUACUUAUUUAUUUAUAUCUAUCACUUAAUUUUAACCGAUGCCAACUCACUUAUAAUAUUUUAUUGUAUUAAUGUUAACUUAAUUGACCAGAUACUGUCAACGGCCCACCCCCUGAUUUUUAUGUUAUAAAUUUUAUAAUU